RNA transcript from Musa acuminata AAA Group (dessert banana), 1021 nucleotides. It is a transcript of the gene named U1 small nuclear ribonucleoprotein C-like, with no coding region annotated. The record is from RefSeq and is a predicted model, not a curated record. The transcript has 6 exons. Lineage: Eukaryota; Viridiplantae; Streptophyta; Magnoliopsida; Zingiberales; Musaceae.
AGCGUCGGUAGACAUUGAAAGAGUAGUAGGGCACGGGCUUCUUCACGCUUCCCCCUCCGCUGCUUUCUCCCCGUCUCCUUGACGGUUCGCCUUCUGCUCUCCACCGAUCGCGAAGGCUUCGCCUUCGAUCUAAAGGCUUCCGAUCGCCACCAGUAGCCAUGCCUCGGUACUACUGCGAUUACUGCGACACUUACCUGACUCAUGAUUCUCCAUCUGUCAGAAAGCAACAUAAUGCUGGCUACAAACACAAGGCAAAUGUCCGUGCUUAUUACCAGCAAUUUGAGGAGCAACAAACUCAAAGUCUAAUUGAUCAGAGAAUCAAGGAACAUCUAGGCCAGGCUGCAGCAUUCCAACAUCAAGUUGGUGCAACUUAUAACCAACAUCUCAUGUCCAUGCCAGGAAAUCGGCCCCCUCUUCCAGUUUUAGGACCACCUAUCUUGCCUAUGGGAGCACCAUCUCAGGGAAUGCUACCGGGAGUUAGGCCCCCUCUCUUGCCUCCUCCAGUUGGAGCUCCAGGUUAUGGUCCUCUUCAUACUAUGCCUACUGCUCCACCAUCAGCGGUACCACCUGGUGCUGCUGCAUCAGCACCGAUGCAAGUUAGUAAUCUUCCUAGGCCUCCUCAAUUGGCACCUCCAAUUUCCGGGGCCAUGUCAAUGCCAACCACCAAUGGUGCUGCACCUGCCAUCAAUCCUGUGAUGUAUCAAGCCAAUCCAUCGUCGACCACAACUGGAAGCUUUGAUUCAUUCAAUGCGGCUUCUGGAUCUGGUUGACAGAGGGCAUCACAUGUAUCCACCGCUCCUGUUUCAGCAAAAUGCCUUACUAUGAUGCCUUUUGAUCUGCCCCGACUAAGACUAAUCUGCUAAAUUUGGACUGAAUGGAUUGCUAUUCUAGAGCUCCGUGGGUCAUCGUGAGAUGGUUAAAGGUAGAGAGAGUCCACUUGUCUGUAUUAUUUCUGGAGUUGUGUAAUCAAAUAUCUAUACACACUCAGGAUCAGUAAUAGUUUGCAUCGGCAUUUCUGACA